GGGGAUAUAACUCAAUUGGUAGAGUGUAUGCUUUGCAAGCAUGAAGCCAUCGGUUCGAGCCCGAUUAUCUCCA
RNAcentral lists this transfer RNA (73 nucleotides) under Ochromonas danica. RNAcentral's name for it is "tRNA-Ala". It matches the Rfam family "tRNA". Rfam says of the family: Transfer RNA (tRNA) molecules are approximately 80 nucleotides in length. Their secondary structure includes four short double-helical elements and three loops (D, anti-codon, and T loops). Lineage: Eukaryota; Chrysophyceae; Chromulinales; Chromulinaceae. The record is from RNAcentral.